This 2985-nucleotide ribosomal RNA is filed under the name Salmonella enterica subsp. enterica serovar 4,[5],12:i:-. RNAcentral describes it as "23S ribosomal RNA". It matches the Rfam family "Bacterial large subunit ribosomal RNA". The record is from RNAcentral. Lineage: Bacteria; Pseudomonadati; Pseudomonadota; Gammaproteobacteria; Enterobacterales; Enterobacteriaceae.
UUAAGCGACUAAGCGUACACGGUGGAUGCCCUGGCAGUCAGAGGCGAUGAAGGACGUGCUAAUCUGCGAUAAGCGCCGGUAAGGUGAUAUGAACCGUUAUAACCGGCGAUUUCCGAAUGGGGAAACCCAGUGUGAUUCGUCACACUAUCAUUAACUGAAUCCAUAGGUUAAUGAGGCGAACCGGGGGAACUGAAACAUCUAAGUACCCCGAGGAAAAGAAAUCAACCGAGAUUCCCCCAGUAGCGGCGAGCGAACGGGGAGGAGCCCAGAGCCUGAAUCAGCAUGUGUGUUAGUGGAAGCGUCUGGAAAGGUGCGCGAUACAGGGUGACAGCCCCGUACACAAAAGCGCAUGUGCUGUGAGCUCGAUGAGUAGGGCGGGACACGUGGUAUCCUGUCUGAAUAUGGGGGGACCAUCCUCCAAGGCUAAAUACUCCUGACUGACCGAUAGUGAACCAGUACCGUGAGGGAAAGGCGAAAAGAACCCCGGCGAGGGGAGUGAAAAAGAACCUGAAACCGUGUACGUACAAGCAGUGGGAGCACAGGUUUACCUGUGUGACUGCGUACCUUUUGUAUAAUGGGUCAGCGACUUAUAUUCUGUAGCAAGGUUAACCGUAUAGGGGAGCCGUAGGGAAACCGAGUCUUAACCGGGCGUUAAGUUGCAGGGUAUAGACCCGAAACCCGGUGAUCUAGCCAUGGGCAGGUUGAAGGUUGGGUAACACUAACUGGAGGACCGAACCGACUAAUGUUGAAAAAUUAGCGGAUGACCUGUGGCUGGGGGUGAAAGGCCAAUCAAACCGGGAGAUAGCUGGUUCUCCCCGAAAGCUAUUUAGGUAGCGCCUCGUGAAUUCAUCUCCGGGGGUAGAGCACUGUUUCGGCUAGGGGGCCAUCCCGGCUUACCAACCCGAUGCAAACUGCGAAUACCGGAGAAUGUUAUCACGGGAGACACACGGCGGGUGCUAACGUCCGUCGUGAAGAGGGAAACAACCCAGACCGCCAGCUAAGGUCCCAAAGUCAUGGUUAAGUGGGAAACGAUGUGGGAAGGCCCAGACAGCCAGGAUGUUGGCUUAGAAGCAGCCAUCAUUUAAAGAAAGCGUAAUAGCUCACUGGUCGAGUCGGCCUGCGCGGAAGAUGUAACGGGGCUAAACCAUGCACCGAAGCUGCGGCAGCGAACGUAUCACUUAAAGCGAUUUACGGAGUUGACGAUUGACGGAGCGAAGCGACGUCAAAGCGUAUACAAAGUCGAGUCGGUUUAGGGAUACGUUCGUUGGGUAGGGGAGCGUUCUGUAAGCCUGUGAAGGUGGUGUGAGGCAUGCUGGAGGUAUCAGAAGUGCGAAUGCUGACAUAAGUAACGAUAAAGCGGGUGAAAAGCCCGCUCGCCGGAAGACCAAGGGUUCCUGUCCAACGUUAAUCGGGGCAGGGUGAGUCGACCCCUAAGGCGAGGCCGAAAGGCGUAGUCGAUGGGAAACGGGUUAAUAUUCCCGUACUUGGUGUUACUGCGAAGGGGGGACGGAGAAGGCUAUGUUGGCCGGGCGACGGUUGUCCCGGUUUAAGCGUGUAGGUGUGUGUUCCAGGUAAAUCCGGUUCACUUUAACACUGAGGCGUGACGACGAGGCACUACGGUGCUGAAGCAACAAAUGCCCUGCUUCCAGGAAAAGCCUCUAAGCAUCAGGUAACACGAAAUCGUACCCCAAACCGACACAGGUGGUCAGGUAGAGAAUACCAAGGCGCUUGAGAGAACUCGGGUGAAGGAACUAGGCAAAAUGGUGCCGUAACUUCGGGAGAAGGCACGCUGACACGUAGGUGAAGUGAUUUACUCAUGGAGCUGAAGUCAGUCGAAGAUACCAGCUGGCUGCAACUGUUUAUUAAAAACACAGCACUGUGCAAACACGAAAGUGGACGUAUACGGUGUGACGCCUGCCCGGUGCCGGAAGGUUAAUUGAUGGGGUCAGCGCAAGCGAAGCUCCUGAUCGAAGCCCCGGUAAACGGCGGCCGUAACUAUAACGGUCCUAAGGUAGCGAAAUUCCUUGUCGGGUAAGUUCCGACCUGCACGAAUGGCGUAAUGAUGGCCAGGCUGUCUCCACCCGAGACUCAGUGAAAUUGAACUCGCUGUGAAGAUGCAGUGUACCCGCGGCAAGACGGAAAGACCCCGUGAACCUUUACUAUAGCUUGACACUGAACAUUGAGCCUUGAUGUGUAGGAUAGGUGGGAGGCUUUGAAGUGUGGACGCCAGUCUGCAUGGAGCCGACCUUGAAAUACCACCCUUUAAUGUUUGAUGUUCUAACGUGGACCCGUAAUCCGGGUUGCGGACAGUGUCUGGUGGGUAGUUUGACUGGGGCGGUCUCCUCCUAAAGAGUAACGGAGGAGCACGAAGGUUGGCUAAUCCUGGUCGGACAUCAGGAGGUUAGUGCAAUGGCAUAAGCCAGCUUGACUGCGAGCGUGACGGCGCGAGCAGGUGCGAAAGCAGGUCAUAGUGAUCCGGUGGUUCUGAAUGGAAGGGCCAUCGCUCAACGGAUAAAAGGUACUCCGGGGAUAACAGGCUGAUACCGCCCAAGAGUUCAUAUCGACGGCGGUGUUUGGCACCUCGAUGUCGGCUCAUCACAUCCUGGGGCUGAAGUAGGUCCCAAGGGUAUGGCUGUUCGCCAUUUAAAGUGGUACGCGAGCUGGGUUUAGAACGUCGUGAGACAGUUCGGUCCCUAUCUGCCGUGGGCGCUGGAGAACUGAGGGGGGCUGCUCCUAGUACGAGAGGACCGGAGUGGACGCAUCACUGGUGUUCGGGUUGUCAUGCCAAUGGCACUGCCCGGUAGCUAAAUGCGGAAGAGAUAAGUGCUGAAAGCAUCUAAGCACGAAACUUGCCCCGAGAUGAGUUCUCCCUGAGACUUAGAGUCUCCUGAAGGAACGUUGAAGACGACGACGUUGAUAGGCCGGGUGUGUAAGCGCAGCGAUGCGUUGAGCUAACCGGUACUAAUGAACCGUGAGGCUUAACCU